RNAcentral lists this ribosomal RNA (458 nucleotides) under uncultured bacterium. Its description in RNAcentral is "partial 16S ribosomal RNA". It matches the Rfam family "Bacterial small subunit ribosomal RNA", at positions 338 to 795 of the family's 1533-position model. The record is from RNAcentral.
CCUACGGGGGGCAGCAGUGAGGAAUAUUGGUCAAUGGGCGCGAGCCUGAACCAGCCAAGUCGCGUGAGGGAAGACGGUCCUAUGGAUUGUAAACCUCUUUUGUCGGGGAGCAAAAGACGCCACGCGUGGCGUUCCGAGAGUACCCGAAGAAAAAGCAUCGGCUAACUCCGGGCCCGCGGCCGCGGUAAUACGGGGGAUGCGAGCGUUAUCCGGAUUUAUUGGGUUUAAAGGGUGCCCAGGCGGAAGUUCAAGUCAGCGGUAAAAUUGAGAGGCUCAACCUCUUCGAGCCGUUGAAACUGGUUUUCUUGAGUGAGCGAGAAGUAUGCGGAAUGGGGGGGGUAGCGGGGAAAUGCAUAGAUAUCACGCAGAACUCCGAUUGCGAAGGCAGCAUACCGGCGCUCAACUGACGCUCAUGCACGAAAGUGGGGGUAUCGAACAGGAUUAGAUACCCGGUAGUC